UCUUACACAUCCACCACAGAAGCAGUAAGCAGGAAAUGUGCAAAAGAAUGAAAGCAGUAUCACAUCUGCUUUAGAGAAGUAACAUGAAUAAGUACAACUUUUUGUUGUCCUUCUUUCUGUUGCUGCUGAGUGGAGUAUCUGACUUCCAUGAGUCCGUAACUACAAUGGCAGAUGAACAUUCUGGUGAUGGUAUGUCAUUGACUGUGCCCACCACAGAAGGAUCUAUUAGUUCUGUUUUAUUUUCAAUUUCAACUAAUAAAUCAGAAGAGCAAAAUGCCACAACACCAACUGAAACUGAGAAUACUGUAAUAGAAAGUACUUCUCCCACAGAAAUGAAUGGGAAUGAGCCUAUUUUACAUACUGCUGUGAUAAUUGGAAUUGCUGUAGCGCUGUUCCUAGUCCUCUUGAUUAUCCUGGUCAUCUUUAUUGUAAGACGUCGCAAACAGAAACAAAGCCAAGAAGAUGAGCUAGGAAGUGAAAAUGGUAAAAGGUCAAUUUCACCAUCUCAGCAAGUUCUAUCAUCUUCACCAACUAUUUCUCCACUUCCUAUUUUUGAGGAAGAUACGCCUUCUGUAAUGGAAAUUGAGAUGGAAGAACUGGAUAAAUGGAUGAACAGCUUGAAAAAAAAUGGCAAAAGCAAAAUGGUGGAGAGGAGAGCCGUUUAUAUAUACUGCGCAGAGAAUGCAUUGCGAUUACUGAAACAAAGGCUACUAUGGCUUCUGAGACAUUUUUAAUAAAACAUAACUUUUUUUAAAAAAAAGUGUUAAACAUUGCUAUUCCAACUGAAUUGCUGGCUCCCCAGUUCUCAAGACUAAUAGUUUGUUGUCUUUUCACAGCAGAAAGUGAUUAUUUGCCUGCUGUAAAAGAAGAGAAGGAUUGUAACACCAACCCAAGCAGACGUGAAGUAUCUCCCCUGCCUUUGGACUAUGACAUCCUCUGAAUAAGAAAGGACCUAUCAUGAUUGCAAAUGGCAAAUGCAAUCUAUAAAUAUAAGAAUAUCCAUGUUACCUAUAGUUUAUAGGUGCUUUAUCAUACAGAUGUAAAUUCUUAUGUGAAUUCAUGUAUUUAACUCAGUUUUGUAUUUAUAAUGUAACACAGUUAAGGAACACUACAAAAUACAGUGAAUCAGAAAUUAGAAAAAAGAUACGUAUGUGGAAUAGACUUGAUUUUAUUCCUGAGAUCCACUUUCAUGUUACUGCUGGCCAUCUAACCCAAUAUAAAAGCCUGACUACAUUCUCUAGUUCACUUUUUCCCCCGUGCCUGAAUAUGAAUUUGUGUUCAUCUAAUAUAGAUUGACUAUGUUGAAUGGGAAUUUUGGUAGCUGCAACCCUAUAUAGCCAAAGGAUAACGAAGUGGGGAAACGCUGACUUUCAAGAAGAGUGAAUCCUUAUAUUCAAGAUAGAUAGCAUGCCUAUCAGGUCAAUCAAAUAUUUAUUCUCCUACUCAGGGUAUAACAAUAUUGAAUUAAGUAGACUAUAUCCUUGAACAGACAUAGGGUAGAUUAAUUGUAUAGUUUAUAUAAUUAACUUAAUCUUUCCCCAAAUUCAGUGGUGGAACUCAAAUAAUUUAACAACCGGCUCUCUGCCCUAAUGAUUUCUUCCAACAACCAGUUCACCAAACUGCUCAGAAAGGUAACAACCGGUUCUCCUGAAGUGGUGCGAACCGGCUGAAUCCCACCACUGUCCUGGAUUAAAAAAGUGAGAUUUCACACAAGUUAUAUUUUGCUCUUACUUAGUUGUGAUGUUGAGGCUCUGAAUCUGAAUUGUCUAUCACUGCCAAGGAAGAGUUUCUUAUUUAUCACAACACAUUUCCCCUCCUCAGAAUGACAUUGCUCAAAAUGCAGUAGCAAACUUACUAUUAAUCCUGCAGGAAACAAUUCAGAAAUCCCUGAAGAGAUUGCUAAAAGGUUACUGGCACUAGGACUAGAAAACUUUUGCAAAAUCAAGGGCAGCAUUCAGCCUUUGGAUUAUGUGCCAAUAGGCAUAUUUUAAAAAGUCCUGUGUCCAAGACAAAGGACUAGAUCAAGGUUAGGCCAAAAAUUAAAUUAAAUUAAAUUAAAAUUUAAUUAUGAAUAAAAUGAUUACUUCCAAUGCAUUUAAUCAUUUUCUUUUCUAUCAUAUUGCAAGUGGGAAACAAUUUUUGGAAGAGCUCUGCACUUCUACAUCAGAGCUAUUAGUAGUCUUAUGUAGGCUAUGACCAAUAAUUUCAAAAGAGGAAAAGCAUAAUGAAACUCCUGUUUACUGGUUAAAAAGGCCCAGUUGAUGGAAUAAUGGAUUUGAACCACUAAUAUCUAGAUUAAUAUUUUCAGCCAUGACAUCUUAUUCACUGUAUGGCCUUGGAUAAUCAAAAUAAACCAUGCCCAUGCUAUAGAGUUGUACCAAGGGAAAUGUUUCAUUUUAUUUUAGUUGCCUUGAACUUGGGAAGGAAGAUAUAUAGUAAAUAAUUAUAAGCAGAAUGAGGAAAAAUGUUUAUGUAUGCAAGUCCAUAUAUAAUCUGUUUUAUGUCAUUCUCACACAAGAUUCUACAUGGCUUACAAUUAUAAAAGUGUGAAAACAAUAAUUAAUUCAAAAUACACAUUGAAAUCUGAUCAUUGCUGCUAGCCAAAGACCUUGUGGAAAAAUACAUUUUUAAAUAGACUUUCUAAAUAUUAGCAGAGUGGGAAUCAUUUUGACCAUAUGAAACAAACUAUUGUAAUGAAUGAAUGAAGGGACAGCUCCUAACUAGACUAUCCUCCAUGCCUUGGACUCAUGAUCUCUCAGGUUGGGUGGCAGAUUCAAUAUAGAGUGGUACCUUGGUACUCAUCAUUAAUUGGUUCUGGGAGGCUCAACGUAUACCAAAAACAAUGAGUACCAAAUAAUUUUUUUCUCAUAAGGAAUAAUGUAGUGAGUCAGAAGGCAGCUGACACCGACAAGUUCUAGCUUGUGAGUUGAGAACCAAACGUAUUUGAGUCCUGGGACAAAAUUUUUGCAUCAAAAUAUGUUGAGUACCAUAUUUGAUUUUCAAAGCGGUUGAAUAUCAAGGUACCACUGUACUGCAAAUCAUUUCAAAAAUAAUGACUCAAGCUAUAAAAGAUUUAAUAAUUAACAACUACAGCAUAGACAAUGCUUUUAAAUAAAUUGGCACGAAUCAGCGGGUGGAUGGCCACCUUCUGUGCCAAUUGUAGACUCCAGGUCAUCUUUAAGAGCAGCCUUAUGAAGAGUAAACUAUAAUAGUCAAUUAAGAGAUGACAACAGCCACAGUUUACAGAGUCUGUGAACUAUGUCUUUCACAGAAAUCCCAAGACAGCAAGGUAUUACUGAAUUGUUUGUCAGCUAUUAAACUAUACCAUUGAUUUCCUCCCCAAUUCUUACCUACAGUACAUAUAUACGUAUUUGUUAUAUACACAAAUGACUCAACAAUAUCUUCAGCAAGAUAAAUGAAGCAUCCUUAACAACCAUUUGGUAACAUUUGUUGAAAUCAUGUAGUAUAUUCAGUUAUUAUUAUUUUUUAUUUACAGCUUACAUUGUACUUUUUUUUUGAUAAAAUGUUUUAUACUGUAAUCAUACAUGUGUAAUAUAAAUAAGAAUAAAAUAUUCUUUUAUACAUA
Ahaetulla prasina is the source of this 3586-nucleotide RNA transcript. It is a transcript of the gene named transmembrane protein 154, with no coding region annotated. The record is from RefSeq and is a predicted model, not a curated record. The transcript has 7 exons. Lineage: Eukaryota; Metazoa; Chordata; Lepidosauria; Squamata; Colubridae.